Ixodes scapularis (black-legged tick) is the source of this 83-nucleotide non-coding RNA. The record is from Rfam. Lineage: Eukaryota; Metazoa; Arthropoda; Arachnida; Ixodida; Ixodidae.
GCAGUCGUGGCCUAGUGGUUAAGGCGAUGGACUAGAUAUCCAUUGGGGUCUCCCCGCACCAGGUUUGAAUCCUGCCAACUGCG